This is a long non-coding RNA of Passer montanus (Eurasian tree sparrow), 170 nucleotides long. RefSeq lists it as uncharacterized. The transcript is spliced from 3 exons. The record is from RefSeq and is a predicted model, not a curated record. Lineage: Eukaryota; Metazoa; Chordata; Aves; Passeriformes; Passeridae.
CUUCAUUUGUCCCGUCACAAGGACCCCGAAGACCCCCGAGAGGAGCUGUGGCCUGGCUGAGGUGUGUGCUUUCACAGAACACCGCUUCAAACAGGUUCUGACAGGCCGUGCCUUGUCCUUGCACACCUGCACCUGCCUCACAGACCGAGGGGUCUCAACACAAUGGCCAC